Molecule: long non-coding RNA, 210 nt
Filed under: Mytilus galloprovincialis (Mediterranean mussel)
Lineage: Eukaryota; Metazoa; Mollusca; Bivalvia; Mytilida; Mytilidae
Source: RNAcentral
GUGUUGUUGUCCGUCUCAGGGGCUAUUACAUUUUGGUUGCAUGUUUUCUUGAGAACUUCACUCAAUCCAUCAAGAUGCUAUACACUGUCAUGCUUUAAAAGAUUUAAUGUUCAAAGUUCAACUUUUGCGACUUUUUAGUGUACUCCAUUCGUAUCUGUGGACCGAAGGAAGCAAUACAUACCUCAGAUAGUCUUAUAUUAGUCCUUAUUU